GAAAAUUUUCGUUCUCCUAAUGUGCCUUUCAGGAAAUGCUAUUUGCAACAUUACAGAACCAAUUAUUCUUUUUACCCUCAAGAAUUAAUUCUCCAUGAAUGUUACAGCUGAUAAUUUUCUAGCACUUACAUUGUUGUUGACAAUUGCAGCGCCAGAUACAGGACCUGCAAAUGGUAGCCUUUCUACUAGUUUGGGAAUCACCUUUUUUCCUUUAUAAUGCCAAACAAUAAAGCCAUUUCAAACAGUUCCAGUUCAAGUAUGAGAAUUUUACUCGCAAGAGAGAGUAGAAUAUUUGUUACUCAUUCAGUAAGAUUUCUGAAACAUUUGCUUUUAAUACAAGUUUGAACAAAAUAUGAAGAAUACCCUUCCAAGGUUGAAUAACCAUAUAUUCCCAAGAUUUCUAAUUUGCUAUUAUGACACUUAUGUAAGAUCAAAUCAAUUGGUGAAGGAUCAGGACAACAUGUUUAUUAGUACUUCUUCAUCUAUCAACUUUCACCUAGAAAAGAUUUUAUGACCCUCUACUGUCUGGAAACAUUAACCAUAAACAAGACAUUUUUGCGAGGUUUUGCAGCUGCACUAUAUGUUCCUAUUCUGCUUAAUUCCUUCAAUUGUGCUUCUCAAAGUAAGUCGUCUGCGCUCUUGCUUAUUCAUUACUUUUCGUGUUAAAUUUGAUUUUUGUUAAGGAGAUAUAUUGAAUCUACUUGUGCCAUCAUGUCACGACCUUAGCUGGUUUUGCCUAAGGCAUGCGGCACCCUCGCGUGUCCGUCCGUAAAGGUCAGCCUCCCCGAAGCCUCCCAUUGUCCCUUAGGACCAACAAAAGAGAGAACGGGUUAAAGAGAACGCCUCAAUCGGGAUCCACAAGCAAACAUGUCCGAAAAACACUUCAUAGACAAUGCAAAUUACAAACAGACUUUACAAGCUCUGAACAGUGGCACAACAAUGGGUAAAAUGGUCCAUUACAGACCGAAAAGCUCUCACACGUGUCCACAUGACACAACCUUUAUUUACAAGCCUAAAGAGGCCACCAACCCAACUAACAUGGGACUAUUUAGCCUUCGGCCGCCCCUUUACCUGCUGUACAAGGCAUGAACAUGCCAAAAGACAACGGACAGACAUAAGCAUUACAUCCAACAUCUUGUUUAGAAGUUUGUCCGUUACAUUCUCCCCCACUUAUCCCUUCGACGUCCUCGUCGAAGCCUUUGUGAACACUGCAACUCUUCGCCUUUGCUGAGUCUUCAAUCUUCCACUCUAGCUGCAAUGCGCCUCCUGGCUCCUAGCUGCUCUCCGCUGCUGUUUUUGAGUAGUCGAACCUUUGAUCUGCCAUGCUGCUUCAACUCACCAAUGACUCUGACUCUGGUGUGGGGUUGGCUGAGUUGUGUUGAUCCUUGUUGAUUCCUGUGGAUCCACCAAAUAAAGGAAAAGACCAUCUUUACUGCGCUAGUCUCUCAAAAUUUCCACAUGCUGCUUGAACUGGGUGGAUGCUUGUUGGAGCUUUAACGAGCAUCGCCUCGCAAACUUCCGAAGUUUUUGGUCCUUCCUCCAUAAAAUCUGCUCAUUGACUCUUCUUUCAGUUAGUUGUCCCAUCCAAGUAUGUUCGCAUCACUUCCGCUUUCGAUUGGCAUUUCGUUGGGAAAUGAGGCGGACAAUCUACUCUCAGUAGCACUGAUCACCGUUGGUGAGGAUUUGACAACUAUUGUCUUCCAUUAUCUUCGAAGGGUCUUUGAACUUGUGCAGCGCUCCUCUGCUGGAUAGAUAAGAGAAUUGGGGUACUCAGUUUCGCCCAUUCUCUUAAGAGUUGAGAAGGCAAAAGUUACUUGACUUCGCCCGCCUCCUCGAGGUUGUACUUCAUGCAUCGAGCUGGUUACUAGCCUUCGCCUGCUCUUUGCUCACACUUCUGAAGCACUUGAAGUGUUUGCACUCCUUGCGUUGAGUUAGUUACUGUGAUUCACCUUCUCAAUGCCAUUGAACUUCUAGAAUGCAGGAAGUUUUCACCCCAACUUGGAGUAAUUCUCUGAUAGAUGAGGUCGCCUCUGGGAUUGUACCGUCUUCUCCAUCAACCCUGCCGCCUACUCCACUGAGUAGCAAAGGUACAGCACCGCGUACUGCCUGCUUCGUUCCUUGGUCGUGCACUCUUGCAUGACCCGAAGUCCUUCACUUACGGCUAUCUUGAUGAGAAACUUGUUGACACCGGUCUUACGAAGUUUCUUGGCCUCUGCCCUUCAGCCUUGUCUCGGUACUUGGAGAUUGCCUCUGCAUGCUCCACCUCCUCGGCCCCUUUCACGACCAAGCGCUCUCCCUCCGUGAGAGCAAGGGAUCAAUGACUUGCACGGAAGUCCCGCCUCUGCGGUACCAUGGCGCUGCCAUGCCCAUGGCCCUACUAUCCGUCGCCUCGCCUCUGUAUCCCUUUCCUUCACAAUCAGUAGAGAUGUCUCCAUGGCACUCCUCUGAGUCCACCUCCAUUCUAACUGAUGCUUGAUUUUGGGUAGCUAAGUCCCUCUGGACUCGUCGUCGCUUCCUCGCCCCUUUCGACCCCCUGCUUCAACACCAUUGUGUUCUCCAAGCAGUCCGUUUGGUCGAUGGAAAGACAGACUGCAACUCCCAUGCAUGGCCUCUGCCAUCACGUUGUAGUGUUUGCACCGAUUCUGUUCUCCUUAGCUUCCUUGGUAGUAACGUUCGCUUACUCGACCUUGUCCUCUGACUUGUCGGGCUCCCUUAAGCGAAUAUAAGCUCUGGAGAAGUCCAACUCUCCAGCUGCUUCGAUCAUACCUCUGCAUGAUCAAGUCCCUCCCAUGGAACUCACUGGUACUUGCAUUCGAACUUUUCCCUUGGUGGAACCCAGCCCCCAUAUGCUGAUGACCAAGGUUUUCAUCCGAUGCAAAAUUCGGUGCACGCCUGGAAGACCCGCCUCUGCGGUACCAUGACCUUCACUCCUUGAAUCCAUAGCCCUUCCUGUCGUCGUGUUGUUCACCAAAGCGGAGCUCCCAGUAGCUCCCGAUCAUACCUCUAUAUGAUCUCAUCCCUCACGGGACAAUGUCGUGUGUGUCGCAUUGCCACGAACUGUUCCACCACGAUCCGCUGCACCAUGUCGCCUCCUGGUGACAUCUCCAUUGCAUUUUGAUCUUUGUGGAAUAAACUCGAAUUGUGAACCCUCCAUGUGUGGCCUCUGCCAAUACAUCGCAGGGUCCCUUCCACUUUCGAUUUUGUUCUCUCCUCUGGCAAUCGACCUUCAUCCACCCACUCCCGGGUCACACUUAGAUGAAGCACCGCUCUAGGACAGUCCGUCGCCUAGUAGCUCUCGAAGUCCACCGACUUCAUUGUAAUCUGUGCACCAUUGUCUGGAUCCUGGGCCUCUACCCCUACCAGCACAAUCUCCGCUACGCACUGCUUCCUUCAUAGCAACUCAAAUGGCAACACUGUGGCAUAUUCUUCAAGAGUAUCCGCCUCUGCGUCCUCUCGCCCCGUGCUAAGGCCUUCUGAACCCAACUUUGCCUCCGCAAAUUGAGUCACCUUAGUUUCUCCAUCAAAUGCUUCUCCGAGAUAAGGUGCAUGUGCCCGGAAGCUCCCUUCGUCUUUGGCACCAUGCAAGAUGAGUCCGCUCCGUCAGAAUGAAGGACCCAUGGAACAACAUGAUCCUACUCUUGCCUCUGCAAGAGUUCAUGUCCUUGACCUCUGUCUAAGAAAAGCACUGUGCCUCUGCUCCAUGUUCCAACUUCUAUGCUGGCUCCCUUCAUGCGGCUUGGGUACUUCGCCAAGUUACACCCAAGUUGCUCCGUUCCUCGUUUUUGCAUUGAGUCGAUGGUGGCCCUCGCGCCCACCAUUCCACGGGUCAGCCCUCCCUUGAGUCCGAUCUCCACAUCGACUCCAAGUGUACCUUCAUAAGUUGCUUUGGGUCGCUCCCCCACUUGAUCUCGCAAUGCAUCCACCAAUGCAUUCUCUCGAGCAAGAUCAUGCGACAACUCCUCGUCGCUUGCUCAGUCCAUCGAGCUUUGUGAAGUUGUUGUUUGUGAGGUACUCCUCCUCAACAUGUGAAGUCCGUCUCACAUGAUUCUCCCUCUGGAGUGCCGAGACUUAUCCCUCCUAGAUAACUAUCCCGUUGGAGCAACAUCUCUCUUCGUUUCGGAGACCACCAUCCCCUUGGACUACUCCGAUCUGCUGAACAAACUGUGCAUUGUUCUGCCUCUUGCAAACGCACUUGCUAGAUUGCGCCUCCACGUCAAUACAGCCACCGCCGCACCCCUCAAGGCCUAGCAACAUGCUAAACUCGUUGCACACUUCAGCCUCCUCCGGACGUAUCCUUUGCAUGCCGAAGAGAAAGUUUCAAUGCUCCAUGGCGCCGAGUCUCGACCGCCUUGGGAUGGCCACGAACAUUCCAUCGUCCGUAUACAAGCCCAUGCAUGAGUACCAAAUUCUUCGAGUUAGCAAUUCCCCUCACCUCUGUGAGCUUUUACAUAACUCUUUUGGUCGUUGAGCAACUCAUUCCACCUUGGACGGUCUCAUUCUUGCCAAGCGCCUCGCUUGCCUAGAGCACCAUCAAGUAUAGUUGUCAACGUUGAGCCGUAGCUCAAACUCAGCCAUCCCAACCUUUGUGCGCUCCAAAUUCUUCCAAGCUUGCCUGUUCUCGUGGUGCCUCUUGCGCGAAGGGUUGGCCAUUCCUCUGAAUGCCAAUCUCAGAUGCUCGCUCCUCUGAGCGACUCUUUUCCCUACAUCUCCAUGCCCGUUUUCCCUCAAACGGUCGCGUGUGUGCUGACUGCCCUCAACGCAGCCCCGCUAGGUCCCCCACGUUUGCAUGUCAAGUGUUUCUAUGAGUACUUGUCCCGCUCUGAUACCAUAAUGUCACGACCUUAGCUGGUUUUGCCUAAGGCGUGCGGCACCCUCGCGCGUCAGUCCGCAAAGGUCAGCCUCCCCGAAGCCUCCCAUUGUCCCUUAGGACCAACAAAAGAGAGAACGGGUUAAAGAGAACGCCUCAAUCGGGAUCCACAAGCAAACAUGUCCGAAAAACACUUCAUAGACAAUGCAAAUUACAAACAGACUUUACAAGCUCUGAACAGUGGCACAACAAAGGGUAAAAUGGUCCAUUACAGACUGAAAAGCUCUCGCACGUGUCCACAUGACACAACCUUUAUUUACAAGCCUAAAGAGGUCACCAACCCAACUAACAUGAGACUAUUUAGCCUUCGGCCGCCCCUCUACCUGCUGUACAAGGCAUGAACAUGCCAAAAGACAACGGACAGACAUAAGCAUUACAUCCAACAUCUUGUUUAGAAGUUUGUCCGUUACAAUCAGUCGAAAAAGUAUGAGAAAUAUUUUCUAUAUUCCCUUUUUUUUUUCGAUAGUGGUUAGCUAAUUCUACUAGUCUUAAUCAUAAACAGGACCACCAAGACAAAACAAUUUGGAAGAUAAUAUUGGCUGGCUAAAGGUGAAGCUUACAGAAGAUGACAGAUCGUCGCGGAUGCACCUCCGAAACGCAACUAAUCAUCUUCUUAUGUUCUAGUAAUAUGGCAUUCAUUGCCAUCAUCUUCUACCUCUUUAUGACUUGAAAGAGAAACUUGUUUUGCUUACAAGUCAGAAAUAGUUUUACUGCAGCCAUGCAGCUGCUCAGCUGAUCUUGAGAUGCAUCAAAGGAGUAGAGUGAAUUCAAGACAUAUUCCAUGGUUGAACACAUCAUGCAUCUCCACAACCAUACUUUGACUGAAACCUUCAGUAUGUUGCAUGCCUUGCUCAUACACUGAUACAUCCAUGAGCUACUGGUACUCUCUCUCUCUCUCUCUUUCUCUCUCUCGCUCGCUCGCUCUUACACAAGAGGUCCACCCUUGAGGUAUUCAGUGAAAGCCAGUGCCACCAAGCCGAGCAUGGCGAAGCGGCCGUUCCAGAGCUCUGCAUCGGCUGUCAUCACGCCACUAGACUUGGACUGCACGCUCACGCCCUUGAACAGGGGCACCAAGGAGGCAGCAGAAAGCAAGGCGGCGGUGCCCGCGAACCACGGCAGCCCGCCAUUCGCGAGCUGAGCCACCAGGUCGUCGCCCCUCGUGAGCUCCACCGCGAUGGCUGACACGAACCCGAUCAUCGCCAAUCUUCCGUUGAUCCUCUCCGGUGCCGGCCCACUGAACGCUAGGAUAUCCGAGAAGCUCGUGCUUUCCUGUAUCAUGAAAUUGCUGGUGAAGAAACUGAUGUCGAAUUCUCUCAACUCUAAUAUGAUUGCGUUCAGUAUUCA
Musa acuminata AAA Group (dessert banana) is the source of this 6211-nucleotide long non-coding RNA. RefSeq lists it as uncharacterized. The record is from RefSeq and is a predicted model, not a curated record. NCBI's taxonomy places the organism in Eukaryota, Viridiplantae, Streptophyta, Magnoliopsida, Zingiberales, Musaceae. The transcript is spliced from 2 exons.